This 74-nucleotide transfer RNA is filed under the name Candidatus Omnitrophota bacterium. RNAcentral's name for it is "tRNA-Arg". It matches the Rfam family "tRNA". Rfam says of the family: Transfer RNA (tRNA) molecules are approximately 80 nucleotides in length. Their secondary structure includes four short double-helical elements and three loops (D, anti-codon, and T loops). Lineage: Bacteria; Pseudomonadati; Candidatus Omnitrophota. The record is from RNAcentral.
GCGCCCAUAGCUCAACUGGAUAGAGCGCUAGCCUUCGGAGCUGGAUGCUGGAGGUUCAACUCCUCCUGGGCGCA